ACGCUCGACACCUACGGAGGCAGCAGUGGGGAAUAUUGCACAAUGGGGGAAACCCUGAUGCAGCGACGUCGCGUGAGCGAAGAAGUAUUUCGGUAUGUAAAGCUCUAUCAGCAGGGAAGAAACUGACGGUACCUGACUAAGAAGCACCGGCUAAAUACGUGCCAACAGCCGCGGUAAUCUGAGCGGGCUGGCAAGGC
RNAcentral lists this ribosomal RNA (197 nucleotides) under uncultured bacterium. RNAcentral describes it as "partial 16S ribosomal RNA". It matches the Rfam family "Bacterial small subunit ribosomal RNA", at positions 328 to 539 of the family's 1533-position model. The record is from RNAcentral.